Molecule: ribosomal RNA, 471 nt
Filed under: uncultured bacterium
Lineage: Bacteria
Description: bacterial SSU rRNA
Rfam family: Bacterial small subunit ribosomal RNA
Source: RNAcentral
AGGACGAACGCUGGCGGCGUGCUUAACACAUGCAAGUCGAACGAGACGAUUGAAAGCUUGCUUUUGAAAGUCGAGUGGCAAACGGGUGAGUAACGCGUGAGGAACCUGCCUUUCAGUGGGGGACAACAGUUGGAAACGACUGCUAAUACCGCAUAACACUUCUGAGUGGCAUCACUUAGAAGUCAAAGCUUUAUGUGCUGAAAGAUGGGCUCGCGUCCGAUUAGAUAAGUUGGUGAGGUAACGGCUCACCAAGUCGACGAUCGGUAGCCGGACUGAGAGGUUGAACGGCCACAUUGGGACUGAGACACGGCCCAGACUCCUACGGGAGGCAGCAGUGGGGAAUAUUGCACAAUGGGCGAAAGCCUGAUGCAGCAACGCCGCGUGAGGGAAGACGGUUUUCGGAUUGUAAACCUCUGUUUCGGUGACGAACAAAUGACGGUAACCGAGUAGGAAGCCACGGCUAACUACGUG